Long non-coding RNA from Phacochoerus africanus (Common warthog), 1587 nucleotides. RefSeq lists it as uncharacterized. Lineage: Eukaryota; Metazoa; Chordata; Mammalia; Artiodactyla; Suidae. The transcript is spliced from 3 exons. The record is from RefSeq and is a predicted model, not a curated record.
AAAAACAAAAAACCUGAGAUCACAGGUGGUAGAUAAACAGAUGGAAGGGAGCCCUGAAAGGACAGGGAAACAGUGUCCUGCUCCUCAUGAGACUUAGCCAGGGACCCCUCACAUAGGUGGUCCUGCUAGCAUGUAGCAAGGGAGGAGAACAAAAGUAUAGCAUGGACCUGCUAGCAUUUGGAGUAAACCAAGAUGCAGUUUUCUCCAGUUGUCCCACAUCUGGGUUCAUCAGACACUGGUUACCUCCACUGUGAUGCCUGGGUAUCCUCAGCACCAAGCAGCACAAGGGCGACCAAGACAUUGCCACACAUCCUCCAGGAUGUGGAUGCGGCCAAGUUGAGAGUUGCCUGCCAUGGUCAGGGAUGGGCUGGCCGGCCGGUUAAACCAGUGACCACAUGAGGGAUGUGGCUGAAACACAGAGUGGUCUACAGGGCCACCAAAGCCAAGGUGGUGGCUACGUCCACUGAAGAAAAAUACACAAUUUAAAAGUUGUGAAUUAUGUUUUAUUUAGGAAACUUGCUGAGGACUAUAGCCCAGGAGGUAGCCUCUCAGUUCAGAGGCAUUACUCUCAAGUAAGGGAGGAGUUUUUGCUGGGAAAAAAAACAAAAAUAUAAACAAACAUGUAGUUUAAUAUCAAAAGACUAUUGCUAAUUACCAAAACAGCAACAAUGAAAAAACUCAUCUCAAGUUGAUGAUUUUAGUGUUUUUCUAAGGGAAGAUGCAAGAGUCUGGGUGCAUUGAAAUUAUUCCUUAGAUAUAGAUCUUAACUAUGUAGGGCCAGUAUCUUGUUUUUCUCUACCUUGAAUUCCCCCCAGGGCCCACGGGCAGGGGCAGCUAUAGUGGCUGAUGACUUGAUGGCUUGUAACAUCUGUUGUUUACUGAAGUGGUAGGCAACUUAUUUUAAAUUUUUUAUCUGCAGCUGGGAUCAAGUCACAAGGGAAGACCCUCCACCCCUGACUGGGCCAGAAACAGCCACCGUUUGCCCAAGCACAAAGCUGCUUUCUUCCUGACCUUUGACUCUUCCCACAAAGAAGUUCAUGACAACGGUGUUUUCAGAAGCCGAUACCAUAUCCUCCUGUUUCUACUUGCAAGAAAAUACCUGGGCUCCCACUUUCUCCAACAAGGGAAGCUAAAGCACUCUUUUGGAAGCGGAAACCACAGAGCCACUGGUAAGCCGUCCAGAUUGUGAGUCAUAGACUAGCGUUUUGUAAUAUUAAUAAAUGUUCCUUUAAAAGAAGACUCCUUAGCAGCAGACCUUGCCCAAGAAGACCUUGGGCAAGGGUGAGGGAACACACAGCUUCCCUUAGUAAAAUCCAGAUCUUCUAAGGUUGGCAGUGGAAAAAAGACAUGCAGGUGGUGCAUCCAGCUGUCCAACUGUAUAACCCCCUGCCCCCCAGUUCACCUUCCCUUUGAAAAGGGAGAUUCAGUCAUGCUCAGGUUUGCACAUGCACUCUCUCUCUCUCUCUCUCACACACAUACACUCUUGUCACUUUGACUUCCCUUCAAUACUCUGGUCUGAAGAUGGCUAAAACCCCUUCCCUCACAUCGCUAUGAAAGACUUGAGAAUGACAAAAACUUAAAAAAAUC